This 253-nucleotide ribosomal RNA is filed under the name uncultured bacterium. RNAcentral describes it as "partial 16S ribosomal RNA". It matches the Rfam family "Bacterial small subunit ribosomal RNA", at positions 524 to 776 of the family's 1533-position model. The record is from RNAcentral.
UACGGGGGGUGCUAGCGUUGUCCGGAAUCACUGGGCGUAAAGGGCGCGUAGGUGGUUUGAUAAGGGUGUGGUGAAAGCCCGGGGCUCAACCCCGGGUCUGCCGUGCCGACUGUCAAACUCGAGGGCUGUAGAGGCAGACGGAAUUCCGGGUGUAGCGGUGGAAUGCGUAGAGAUCCGGAGGAAGACCGGUGGCGAAGGCGGUCUGCUGGGCAGUUUCUGACACUGAUGAGCGAAAGCGUGGGUAGCGAACAGG